RNAcentral lists this unclassified non-coding RNA (218 nucleotides) under Hevea brasiliensis (rubber tree). Lineage: Eukaryota; Viridiplantae; Streptophyta; Magnoliopsida; Malpighiales; Euphorbiaceae. The record is from RNAcentral.
AUAGAAUAACGAGUGAGAAAUUCAAAAUCAAACAGCUCUGGUUAAUCAGUCACCAUUUGUGGUCUUACCUCCAAAUACCAACUUCAGUGAUUGGAUAGUUCUUCAUAUUUCUCAUCAAUUCCUUGAAUUCUUUCGUCGGCUAUGGCUGUAGAUGAGGAUAUGGCCCCUAAGAAGAAGAAAGAGCCCACUGAAAACGAGAAGAGGAGAAUGAAAAUUGU